This 468-nucleotide ribosomal RNA is filed under the name uncultured bacterium. Its description in RNAcentral is "partial 16S ribosomal RNA". It matches the Rfam family "Bacterial small subunit ribosomal RNA", at positions 28 to 507 of the family's 1533-position model. The record is from RNAcentral.
GACGAACGCUGGCGGCGUGCUUAACACAUGCAAGUCGAACGGAAAGGCCCUGCUUUUGUGGGGUGCUCGAGUGGCGAACGGGUGAGUAACACGUGAGUAACCUGCCCUUGACUUUGGGAUAACUUCAGGAAACUGGGGCUAAUCCCGGAUAGGAGCUCCUGCUGCAUGGUGGGGGUUGGAAAGUUUCGGCGGUUGGGGAUGGACUCGCGGCUUAUCAGCUUGUUGGUGGGGUAGUGGCUUACCAAGGCUUUGACGGGUAGCCGGCCUGGGAGGGUGACCGGCCACAUGGGUACUGAGAGACGGCCCAGACUCCUACGGGAGGCAGCAGUGGGGAAUAUUGCACAAUGGGCGGAAGCCUGAUGCAGCAACGCCGCGUGCGGGAUGACGGCCUUCGGGUUGUAAACCGCUUUCGCCUGUGACGAAGCGUGAGUGACGGUAAUGGGUAAAGAAGCACCGGCUAACUACGUG